RNAcentral lists this ribosomal RNA (259 nucleotides) under uncultured Staphylococcus sp. Its description in RNAcentral is "partial 16S ribosomal RNA". It matches the Rfam family "Bacterial small subunit ribosomal RNA", at positions 103 to 356 of the family's 1533-position model. Lineage: Bacteria; Bacillati; Bacillota; Bacilli; Caryophanales; Staphylococcaceae. The record is from RNAcentral.
CGGGUGAGUAACACGUUGAUAACCUACCUAUAAGACUGGGAUAACUUCGGGAAACCGGAGCUAAUACCGGAUAAUAUUUUGAACCGCAUGGUUCAAAAGUGAAAGACGGUCUUGCUGUCACUUAUAGAUGGAUCCGCGCUGCAUUAGCUAGUUGGUAAGGUAACGGCUUACCAAGGCAACGAUGCAUAGCCGACCUGAGAGGGUGAUCGGCCACACUGGAACUGAGACACGGUCCAGACUCCUACGGGAGGCAGCAGCG